UUAAAGGCGUGUGCCACCACCGCCCGGCAAUUUUCCUGUAUUUUUAAAGUACAAGUUUAGAGUUUUUAGAAAAGUAUUUGAAAUCUUGACCUUUGAUAUUUUUUGUUUUAUUUAUAUUGAUUUGUACUGUAUUUAAAGUCAGAGAUACUUUGUCUCUACGGUUGUGACGUCUACAUGAGACUGUUCCAGAGACAACACAAACUCAUCCACUGGUUGUAUUACUUUAAAGCUGUGUUAGUGAGGGGAAAAUCCUAAGUUUGUCUGAUUGUUGAGUAGAAAGUAGACAAAGCAGUUUGCAACAAACGACAAGAUUUCAGCAGACUGCACAGUGUUUACAGAUGGUAGUUUGAAAGUUUCAUUCAGGAAGGAGUCUCUAUUAAAGACUCAGAGUAAAGAUCAUAAGGACAGGCGGUGGAGCUCAGUAAUAGAGUAUUUGUAUAAGGAGGGAGGUAGUACUCAGUGAUAGAGUGCUUAUAUACAAAGGAGGGAGGUAGUACUCAGUGAUAGAGUGCUUAUAUACAAAGGAGGGAGGUAGUACUCAGUGAUAGAGUGCUUAUAUACAAAGGAGGGAGGUAGUACUCAGUGAUAGAGUGCUUGUAUACAAAGGAGGGAGGUAGUACUCAGUGAUAGAGUGCUUGUAUACAAAGGAGGGAGGUAGUACUCAGUGAUAGAGUGCUUAUAUACAAAGGAGGGAGGUAGUACUCAGUGAUAGAGUGCUUAUAUACAAAGGAGGGAGGUAGUACUCAGUGAUAGAGUGCUUAUAUACAAAGGAGGGAGGUAGUACUCAGUGAUAGAGUGCUUAUAUACAAAGGAGGGAGGUAGUACUCAGUGAUAGAGUGCUUAUAUACAAAGGAGGGAGGUAGUACUCAGUGAUAGAGUGCUUAUAUACAAAGGAGGGAGGUAGUACUCAGUGAUAGAGUGCUUAUAUACAAAGGAGGGAGGUAGUACUCAGUGAUAGAGUGCUUAUAUACAAAGGAGGGAGGUAGUACUCAGUGAUAGAGUGCUUAUAUACAAAGGAGGGAGGUAGUACUCAGUGAUAGAGUGCUUAUAUACAAAGGAGGGAGGUAGUACUCAGUGAUAGAGUGCUUAUAUACAAAGGAGGGAGGUAGUACUCAGUGAUAGAGUGCUU
Peromyscus leucopus (white-footed mouse) is the source of this 1129-nucleotide long non-coding RNA. RefSeq lists it as uncharacterized. The transcript has 2 exons. NCBI's taxonomy places the organism in Eukaryota, Metazoa, Chordata, Mammalia, Rodentia, Cricetidae. The record is from RefSeq and is a predicted model, not a curated record.